UACGGGGGGAGCAAGCGUUGUUCGGAUUUACUGGGCGUAAAGGGCGCGUAGGCGGUCGUGACAAGUCACUUGGUGAAAAUCUCCGGGCUUAACUCGGAACGGUCAAGUGAUACUGUCGGACUAGAGUACAGAAGGGGCAACUGGAAUUCUCGGGUGGUAGCGGUGAAAUGCGUAGAUAUCGAGAGGAACACCUGCGGCGAAGGCGG
This 206-nucleotide ribosomal RNA is filed under the name uncultured bacterium. RNAcentral's name for it is "partial 16S ribosomal RNA". It matches the Rfam family "Bacterial small subunit ribosomal RNA", at positions 524 to 724 of the family's 1533-position model. The record is from RNAcentral.